RNAcentral lists this transfer RNA (98 nucleotides) under Elsinoe australis. RNAcentral's name for it is "tRNA-Ser". It matches the Rfam family "tRNA". Rfam says of the family: Transfer RNA (tRNA) molecules are approximately 80 nucleotides in length. Their secondary structure includes four short double-helical elements and three loops (D, anti-codon, and T loops). The record is from RNAcentral. Lineage: Eukaryota; Fungi; Ascomycota; Dothideomycetes; Myriangiales; Elsinoaceae.
GGCGCUUUGGCGGAGUGGUUAACGCGGCAGACUCGAAUAUUAUUGUGUCCGGUCAUCUGCUCUCCUCGGAGGCGCAGGUUCGAAUCCUGCAGGCGUCG